Molecule: ribosomal RNA, 374 nt
Filed under: uncultured bacterium
Lineage: Bacteria
Description: bacterial SSU rRNA
Rfam family: Bacterial small subunit ribosomal RNA
Source: RNAcentral
UACGUAGGGUGCGAGCGUUAAUCGGAAUUACUGGGCGUAAAGCGUGCGUAGGCGGUUCUGAAAGUCAGCUGUGAAAGCCCCGGGCUUAACCUGGGAACUGCGGUUGAAACUACAGGACUUGAAUCUGGCAGAGGGGGGUGGAAUUCCACGUGUAGCAGUGAAAUGCGUAGAGAUGUGGAGGAACACCGAUGGCGAAGGCAGCCCCCUGGGCUGAGAUUGACGCUCAGGCACGAAAGCGUGGGGAGCAAACAGGAUUAGAUACCCUGGUAGUCCACGCCCUAAACGAUGUCAACUAGGUGUUGGGAGCGCAAGUUCUCAGUACCGCAGCUAACGCGUGAAGUUGACCGCCUGGGGAGUACGGUCGCAAGAUUAAA